RNAcentral lists this ribosomal RNA (1020 nucleotides) under Stemphylium botryosum. RNAcentral describes it as "SSU rRNA". It matches the Rfam family "Eukaryotic small subunit ribosomal RNA", at positions 75 to 1104 of the family's 1831-position model. The record is from RNAcentral. Lineage: Eukaryota; Fungi; Ascomycota; Dothideomycetes; Pleosporales; Pleosporaceae.
UAUACCGUGAAACUGCGAAUGGCUCAUUAAAUCAGUUAUCGUUUAUUUGAUAAUACCUUACUACUUGGAUAACCGUGGUAAUUCUAGAGCUAAUACAUGCUGAAAAUCCCGACUUCGGAAGGGAUGUGUUUAUUAGAUAAAAAACCAAUGCCCUUCGGGGCUUUUUGGUGAUUCAUGAUAACUUUACGGAUCGCAUAGCCUUGCGCUGGCGACGGUUCAUUCAAAUUUCUGCCCUAUCAACUUUCGAUGGUAAGGUAUUGGCUUACCAUGGUUUCAACGGGUAACGGGGAAUUAGGGUUCGAUUCCGGAGAGGGAGCCUGAGAAACGGCUACCACAUCCAAGGAAGGCAGCAGGCGCGCAAAUUACCCAAUCCCGACACGGGGAGGUAGUGACAAUAAAUACUGAUACAGGGCUCUUUUGGGUCUUGUAAUUGGAAUGAGUACAAUUUAAACCUCUUAACGAGGAACAAUUGGAGGGCAAGUCUGGUGCCAGCAGCCGCGGUAAUUCCAGCUCCAAUAGCGUAUAUUAAAGUUGUUGCAGUUAAAAAGCUCGUAGUUGAAACUUGGGCCUGGCUGGCGGGUCCGCCUCACCGCGUGCACUCGUCCGGCCGGGCCUUCCUUCUGAAGAACCUCAUGCCCUUCACUGGGCGUGUUGGGGAAUCAGGACUUUUACUUUGAAAAAAUUAGAGUGUUCAAAGCAGGCCUUUGCUCGAAUACGUUAGCAUGGAAUAAUAAAAUAGGGCGUGCGUUUCUAUUUUGUUGGUUUCUAGAGACGCCGCAAUGAUUAACAGGAACAGUCGGGGGCAUCAGUAUUCAGUUGUCAGAGGUGAAAUUCUUGGAUUUACUGAAGACUAACUACUGCGAAAGCAUUUGCCAAGGAUGUUUUCAUUAAUCAGUGAACGAAAGUUAGGGGAUCGAAGACGAUCAGAUACCGUCGUAGUCUUAACCGUAAACUAUGCCGACUAGGGAUCGGGCGAUGUUCUUUUUCUGACUCGCUCGGCACCUUACGAGAAAUCAAAGU